UCAUCGAUUCCAUCAUCCAGU
RNAcentral lists this small nuclear RNA (21 nucleotides) under Arabidopsis thaliana (thale cress). RNAcentral's name for it is "snRNA_18094". The record is from RNAcentral. Lineage: Eukaryota; Viridiplantae; Streptophyta; Magnoliopsida; Brassicales; Brassicaceae.